This 404-nucleotide ribosomal RNA is filed under the name uncultured bacterium. Its description in RNAcentral is "bacterial SSU rRNA". It matches the Rfam family "Bacterial small subunit ribosomal RNA", at positions 355 to 776 of the family's 1533-position model. The record is from RNAcentral.
UGGGGAAUAUUGGACAAUGGGGGAAACCCUGAUCCAGCAAUGCCGCGUGAAUGAAGAAGGCCUUAGGGUUGUAAAGUCCUUUCGCCUGUGAAGAUAAUGACGGUAACAGGAAAAGAAGCCCCGGCUAACUCCGUGCCAGCAGCCGCGGUAAGACGGAGGGGGCUAGCGUUGUUCGGAAUGACUGGGCGUAAAGGGUGCGUAGGCGGUUUUGUAAGUAAGGUGUGAAAGCCCUGGGCUCAACCCAGGAACUGCGCUUUAAACUGCAAAACUUGAGUGUGAGAGAGGAAAGUGGAAUUCCUAGUGUAGAGGUGAAAUUCGUAGAGAUUAGGAAGAAUAUCAGAGGCGAAGGCGGCUUUCUGGAUCACAACUGACGCUGAGGCACGAAAGCGUGGGGAGCAAACAGG